CCUUGACGUGUCAGUCAAUGAAUUCAAUCAUAUGUUUCCUGAGAACAUUGGGUUGAUACUUCCACAUUUACGGUAUAUGAAUAUAUCGAAGAACGGCUUUCAAGGAAAUCUGCCAUCUUCUCUGGGUAACAUGAGUAGGAUUGACACUCUGGAUGUAUCUCACAACAGUUUCCAGGGAAAGCUACCAAGAAGCUUAGUAAAGGGUUGUUAUAACUUGGCUUACUUGAAGUUGUCACAUAACAAACUAAGUGGAGAGGUUUUUCCAGAAUCAGCAGAGUUAUAUGAUUUACGUUGGCUGUAUAUGGAUAACAAUCAGUUUACAGGAAAUAUUGGACAAGGUUUGCAGAACUUGACAUUUUUGCAUAUCCUUGAUAUAUCGAAUAACAAUCUCACGGGUGUUAUUCCAAGCUGGGUUGGCGAACUUCCAAGGUUAUAUGCAAUACUGCUUUCAAACAACUCGUUGGAAGGUGAAAUACCUACGUCGUUGUUCAACAAAACUUUUCUUCUGCUAUUGGACCUCUCUGCAAACAGUUUAUCUGGGGGAUUACCUCCACACGUCGAUUCUACAUUGCCGGUAAUAUUGCUCCUGCAAGACAAUCAUCUAUCAGGAGAUAUUCCAGACACAUUGCUGGCAAAUGUCAGCAUACUUGAUCUGAGAAACAACAGAUUGUCUGGGAAUAUACCGGAGUUCAUCAACACCCAAAGCAUCAGUGUUCUUCUUCUCCGAGGGAAUAAUUUAACAGGUCAUGUUCCUCGUCAGUUGUGUGGCCUAAGAAACAUCCAACUUCUGGAUCUUGCCAACAACAGAUUGAAUGGAUCCAUACCUUCAUGUCUCAGCAAUACAUCAUUUGGUUUGGGGAAAGAGGAUAAUGCAUUUCACGUUUCUAAUCUCGAUCUAGGUAUAGAGCGUGUUUAUGAUGAUCCCGAUAGAUAUUUCAAACCUCUUCUUAUUGAGCUAGAUCCGCUUUAUUGGCAAAUCGCGGUAGCCACCCAGACGAAAGUUGAAUUUGCAACAAAACACCGAUAUGAUGCCUACAUGGUGGGUGGAAUUCUCAAAUAUCUGUUUGGGCUAGAUCUCUCUGAAAAUGAGCUAAGCGGUGAGAUUCCAAUAGAGCUUGGAGGUCUUCUGGAGAUACAAGCUUUCAAUCUUUCUCACAACAACUUAUCAGGCGUGAUACCAGAUAGCUUUUCAGGUCUGAAGAAUGUGGAAAGCCUUGAUCUUUCCUUCAACAGAUUACAAGGCCGGAUCCCAUCAAGACUAGCAGAUCUGAGCAGCCUAGCUGUGUUCAAUGUCUCAUACAACAACUUAUCAGGAGUCACUCCCCAGGGAAGACAGUUUAACACCUUCGAUAUGCAAAGCUACUUAGGUAACCCUCUUCUCUGUGGAAAAUCAACCAACACAACCUGCGACAGUAAUAUCAUUCACGCACCAGAUAAUGUAGUGAAGGACGAAGAAAGCACAAUCGACAUGGUUUCUUUCUACUGGAGUUUUGCAGCAGCCUACGUUACAAUACUUCUUGGAAUAUUUGCAUCUCUCUCUUUUGAUUCUCCUUGGAGUAGGUUUUGGUUCUACAAGGUUGAUGUUUUCAUCCACAAGGCGAGGAAUUUGUUGUGGUAAACUACUACUGUUAGUGUGAAUUUCAUUAAUGUGCCCCAUCUGUUGCUAUUCUUCUCAAAACCUCUUGCUUUGUUUUACAAAACCAGAACAUAACAUGUUUGGUUCCUCUGUACUGUCUUUGAAUAAAUGUAAUGCCUCAAACAUUCCUAGAGCUUGUUUUGAGGUUGAUUCAAUAAAUAAUAUAUUAUAAUUAUGAAGAACAAGAACUUCCAUGAAAAAAAAAAAAAAAAACUCAUAAGUAGGAAAAAAAAUACAGAGACUUUUCCGUUAGUUCUCUUGCUUCUAUACCGCUUUAUAGUUUUAUUUCAGGUAACCAUCUCAAGAACUUCAGUCACAAUAUAUGAUUAUGAAUCAGAAGAGCAAAAGAAAGACCAGAGAGAAACACUUAACACAGUUAAAGAGUUAGAGUACGAAGAGUAAUUACUAGUGUAUAUAUCUAGUCUUUCUUCAACAGCCUUAGCUACUGGUCCGUGAAAAGCGUUCUUCGCCUUCCUGACUUUGCUUGCAGACGGCCAGUCUCCGCAUGUACGAUCUCAUUCACCAGAUCCUUGAAGAUAAGCCUCUCCACAUCCAGCACCAAUCCUGAGAUUUCUCCAUUGAAGUCCACCCAAUUCCCAGACCGAACCAUUACAUCUUCUGCAAGUAUACUUUUCAAGAAGUCGUCUUCUUCCUCCAACAAGAAGUUUUCUGAUCUCUUUGUGGCUUGCUUUUGCAGUGUUUCUAUCUCUGAACACAGUUCUUUCAGUAGCUGUUGCGCACUCAUGGCUUUCUUAGUCAUCUUAGUUGAUGACUUCAUCAAUGGAUUCAUCGUGGCUUCAACCGAAGCUAGUUUCUCCACAAGAAUUUCAUUAACGGUGGUGUCAAACACAAGUUUGCGGUUGAGCUUCUCCUUGUUCAAAACCUUGCUUUCUUCUUUGUGUAACAGAUGCGUAGUGCUGCUUCCCUUUGUCUUGAAUGGUUUUUACCUGCAACAAGACUUGUCAUACAAAAAACGUCAGUGCAUAUUUCAAAUCUCUGCUCAUGCUUGAUCCUUUUAGUAUGAACUACAAGGCAAGUACUCAGAAAAAAAUUUAGUUUGCAACGAAACACAGAUACGAUGCCUACAUGGGUGGAAACCUCAAAUUAUUGUAUGGAUUGGAUCUCUCGAAAAAUGAGCUGAGCGGUGAGAUUCCAGUUAAGUUUGGACAUCUUCUGGAACUAAGAGCUUUCAACCUCUCUCACAACAAGUUAUCAGGAGUGAUACCAGAAACCUUUUAAGGUAUGAAGAAUGUGGAAAGGCUUGAUCUUUCUUUCAACAGAUUACAUGGCCGGAUUCCAACACAAUUAACAGAGCGAGCAGCCUCUCGGUCAUCAAGGUCUCGUACAACAACUUAUCAGGAGUCAUUCCACAGGGAAAACAGUUUAACACCUUCGAUACACAAAGCUUCGAAGGUAAUCAACUUCUCUGUGGACAACCAACAAGCAGAAGCUGCAACAUUUAUGCUACCUUUCAAGAGCCAGAUGAUGAAGUGGAAGCUGAUGAAUCCGCAAUGGACAUGGAAUCUCUCUACUGGAGUUUCGCUGCAGCGUAUGUGACAAUACUUGUUGGAAUACUCGCAUUGCUCUCAUUAGAUUCUCCUUGGAGAAGAUUGUGGUUCUACAUCGUUGAUGCUUUUAUCUACAAGUUGAGGGAUAUGUGUUCGGUGUGGUAAAACUACUGUUAGUGUCAAGUCCAUUAAUGUGCUACUUUCGUUCAUGUCCUCAUUUGUUGAUGUUUGUCAUCAUAUCCUCCUCCUCUGUUACUCAUAACCAGAACAAGACAUUUGUUAUGUUCCUAUGUGUUGUCUGUCUUUAAUUAAAUGUAAUGUCUCAAAGGCUCAAGCAUAUCUUAGAGCUUUGUAUGCCUUAAUUUUCAGCUUUGUAUGAUUCUUAUAUUCGUUGGACUUCCUUUCAGAACUUGGAGAUUUAAAAAAAUUGGAACUGCUUGACCUGAGUAGUAACAGAUUUAACGGCUGCUAUGGAGGAUUAGUGUCUCGUCAAAAUGGCGUCACUGAAACGGCGGCGUUCUCUCAUUCUGGCUUUUACAUCCUUUUUUUUUUUUUUUUUUUUUUUUUUUUCAUUCUUUAUUCCGCAAACCUUUAAAAGGCGACUUUUCAAAAAAUUACAAGGAGAAUUCCCACGCGGAAUAAAGAACCUUACAUACCCAAGGAAUAAAAAACAAGACUUGAAACUCGCAUGAAACAAGAACAUAGCAUGAUGACCAGGCGAAAGAAACAUAGAUAAGAUUGAGAUGGGAGUUAAGACUGAAAAAAUCUGAACCACGUUUGAAGAAACGAUUCCGAAGAUGACGAAGUACCCUGAGGGAGAAUCCGGGGAUAGGAGAUAGCUUGUCUAUCAAGACCAGCUAGCUUGGCUCUAAGCAACAACUGGAGGUCUUUAACGAGGGUACCAGUGGCUUUGGAGACAGCAUUAUGAAGUCUACUGUUGCGUUCCUUCCAAAUAAGAUAAACCGCUGCUUGAAAAACCAGAGAGGAAAUGUUCUUCAACUUCCGAAGCUGAAAAGGAGAUCUAACCCAAGCGACAAUACUAUCAAGAGAGUAAUGAGGGGUGAAACCAUAAUGGGAAAAAAUGGAGUUCCAAAACUCUUUGGAAAAAGGGCAAUUGAAGAAAAGGUGCUCUCUAGAUUCAGCAGCAGAACCACACAACAAACAUUCCGGAGGAACCAACAGUCCCCAACUCCGCAAUCGAUCUCGCGUUGGAAGCCUAUUGCGAAGAAUAACCCAAAGUAAGAAAGAAUGCUUAGGUAUUCUUACCUUAGGCCAAACCGACUUAAACCAAGAAACCGUCGGUGGGGAAGGGUGCAGAAACUUCCACGUUUUCGAAGUAGAAAAUAUCCCUGGAGGGCUGUCAAGAGAAUUGCGCCACAAGAAGAAGUCAGGUUCCAGGGACAGCUCACUGGGAAGAUCGGGAGGAAGGCAGGCUCUAAGCAGAGAAAGAAUAGGAUGACGCCUGCCUGAGAUGUUCCAGACACCAAAACGACAAGCUUCAACAACCGUAGACAUUAAAGGAAGACCCGUAACACGAGGUCCAUUAUCACCUGUAAGAGCAGUAAGAGGACCCAAGCUAGUCCAAUCAUCAUGCCAAAAUAAAGCCGUGGAACCGGAACGAACAUGACAUGCUAGAAAAGGUCGAGCUAUAAUGCGAAGCUUCAUGAGCCGUUUCCAAAUCCAACUGCCCGAUCUCUGAAAGUCAGUGGUCCAAAACAACCUCCCUCUAAUAAUAUUCUGCUUAGUCCACGCAACCCAUAACGAACCCGUAGAAGCAAACAAGAGCCAAAUGAGUUUCAAACCGAAAACCUGAUUAGAAUCCUGGAUAUUUCUCAAACCCAGACCGCCUGAUUCCUUAGGAGAACAGACCGAACUCCAAGCAACCUUGGCACUACGCGCAGAGUUAGGAGCUCCACUCCAAAGAAAGGCGCUGCAAAUCUUAUCAAGAGUAUCCAAGCAACUCUUGGGAAGAGGAAACACCGAAGCCCAGAAAUUGAUAAUGCUAUGUAGAACAGAUUUAACCAACUCCAAUCUUCCAGCAAAAGAUAAUUGCCUCACAGUCCAAGAGGAAAUGCGGGAGAGGAUUUUAUCAAUCAAAGGCUGAUAAUCCUGAGGCCUCAACUUGUGAGGCAUCAACGGUAAUCCGAGGUAUCUGACCGGCAAUGCACCUUGAACAAGUCCGAAACGAGAAGCAAGAGACAGAGAGAGUGCCUGAUUAUUUCCGUCAAGGAAUAGACAUGACUUGGUAAGAUUUAGGGCCAAUCCAGACGUUCUCUGAAAAGAAGAUAAAAUAUCCAGAAUUCCAACAGGAGAAGAUUCAGCCCCAUCAAAAAAUAUAAGCACAUCGUCAGCAAAGCUAAGAUGAGUAACAAGAGGGUCGCGGCACAUCGGAUGAGGAGCAAAGAGAUUUUCUCUAACAGCUUUAUCGAGAAGCUUGGAGAGAAUAUCCAUGACUAAGACGAAUAAAGAUGAGGAAAUAGGGUCACCUUGACGGAGCCCUUUCCUGCCGGGAAAGAAGCCAACAAGCUCACCGUUCACCGCGAUGGAAUAAUGAGGAGAUGAAACACAGGCUUUAAUCCAAGAGAUAAAUCGAGGAGGGAGCUGAAAGGCGAUGAGAAUAUUCGAAAUGAAGCUCCAAUCCACAUUAUCGUAAGCUUUGGAUAUGUCAAUCUGCAAACACCCUCUAGUUGUAUUUCCAUCCUUAUGGAAGUCAGAAACCAACUCAGAAGCCAAAAGAACAUUCUCACAGAGGAGCCGCCCUUUAACAAAACCAACUUGGUUCCUCUGAACUGCAAGGGGAGUAAAAAGCUUCAAGCGAUCAGCGAGAAUACGAGAUAUGACCUUGUAGACCGUGUUACAAAGCGAGAUAGGUCUGUACUCGGAUAACCGCUCAGCUCCAGUAAAUUUUGGAAUUAGAGAGAUAACUGUAGCGUUAACUUGACAGAUCAAAGAAGAAGUGAUGAAAAAGUCUUGAACUGCGCGGGUUAGAUCUCCCCCAACUAAGUCCCAAGAAGAAGUGAAAAAUUCCACCGAAAACCCAUCAGGCCCGGGAGCCUUGUUCCUUGGCAAGGAAAAAACCGCAUUCUUGAUAUCCUCCGACGAGGGCAUUCUGUCUAGCUGAGGAUACAAGUGGUCGUCACACCUGAAAGAAUGUAAGUCUUGAAUUUGAGGAACAGAGAGUGGUUGAACCUCUGGAUUAGGAGAUUCAAGCAAAGCUGAAUAAAAAUCCAGAACGUGAUUCUUAAGCAUUUGCGGAUCAGAAAUCUUGACACCAUCAGAAUUCCUUAGGUAAUGAAUGGAGUUUCGAAGGAGGUUAGCUUUAACAGACUUAUGAAACACACGAGUGUUAGCAUCUCCUUCAGAUAGCCACUUAAUUCGUGACUUUUGCCUGAAAAAAUUUUCCUCCGCCGCUGCUAGAAAGAGCCAAGAAUCCCUCAAUCGACGUUCCUCAACAAACAAGUCCUGAGUUGGAGACCGAAGAAGAUCACGCUGAACAGAUUCCAACAGCUCGAAAGCCUCUUUAGUCCUCAUCUGAAUAUUGCUAAAGCUCAAACGAUUCAACUCCUUACAGCACUGUUUAGCGGCUCUGAGCUUCUGAUAAAGACUAAACAUAUGACUCGCAGGAGUAGAGAACCCGUUCCAAGCCUCCUCCAACACUCUACCAUAAUCUGGGUGAGAGGUGAAGAAGGGGAAGAAAGUGAACCGUGAUUUUCUUCUGGAUCCUUCGUUUGAUAAUGAUACCAAACAAGGAGAAUGAUCGGAACUACCAGGAGCGUCAAACAACGCAAGAGAAUCAGGGUAAGAACCUUGCCAAGCUUCAUUAAUAACCACACGAUCAAGUUUUCGAGACUUAGGAUUAUGAGGACAUUUAUUACUCCAGGUAAAGAAGCAGCCCCGCAUAGCCAUAUCAAAGAGAGAACUAGAUGAUAAACACUCCUGGAACUCUGCAAUACCUUGAACCGGCAAGACACUAGGAGAUAGAGAAUAUGCUUCCGCCAUAGAUAAGACUUGGUUAAAGUCACCUAAUAAGAGCCACGGAGAAUGGUUUAGCAGAGGAGAAGACGCUAAUUCCUUGAUCAAAAUCCAUAGAGGGAUGCGAUCCUCUCUUCUGUUAGGAGCAUAGAUAAAAGCCACAGAGAAAGACUGGUUGGAGGCAGGAUUUAGAACACCACAGAGCAUAAGAUUAGGGGAUUUCAGAAAAGUAAUAACAGAGAGAAGGGGAUUCCAUAGAACAACAAUACGCCCGUUCUCUGCAUCCUCAGAAUGAUUAGAGUCAAAACGCCACCCUGGGAAGUGCCUGGUCAUCAAAUCAUCAAUGUUUGCUUGUUUCACGCGAGUUUCCAAAAAACCACCGAUCAUAGGUUGGUUAGCGAUGAGCCACCGCUUUACAGCUAAAAGUCUUGAAUUGCCAUUAAGGCCUCUUACGUUCCAACAAAAACACUUCAUAUAGAAGUCAAAAAAGGGGGAGUGCAUCACACUCAGAGGGCCAAAAUGUGAGCAGAUCGCUUGCGCGAGUGCCCACUUAAAGAAGGACCAGGAACAGACGAAGCUGAUCUGGAAGAAGCCAAAGAAACCGGACGAUCGAUAUUAGAACCAGGGGAAGAGGAGGAGAGCAGCAGAGACUUCUGACGAAGGUUUUUCCUUGCUUUCCUUCUAGCAGCAGCUGUAAUCAACGGAGGGGCAACCACUUCCAGAUUAGCAAUUCUCUUCCGGAUAAUAGCUUGGGCUGAUUGAAUGAGCUCCUCUUCCGCAGCGAACUGAGAGUUGGUAACCGAAGCAGCAGGAGGACGCUCUUCAGUAUUAGCCGAGGAGAGACGAGGAACUGAGGAGCGACGAACCACCUUAGUCCAUACCCCAGAGAUAUUAGCAUCAGAGCCGCUAUGAUUUUCAAAAGAAGCGGGGACAGCCCGAGGAGAAGAUGGUAAACUCUUGGAAAUUCGAAUCUUAUGAGGAGACGAAGGACGACUAGCAAAGGAACCCUGACAAACUUGCACAUCAGCGACUGAAGAGGAAGACCCUUCAGGGGAGGUAGCCGGAGAAAAAUCAUUUGAAGGAGAUUGAUUUGAGUUAUUCGGGCAAACGGCAGCUUUAACAACAGGAACUGGGCAUCGCAUCUGGAAGUGACCAAAUUCACCACAAGCAGCACAUUUGGGAGGGAGUUGAAGGAAUUCCACUGAGACAAGAACAGUAUUCUGCAUCUUAUCAGAAACACGCACAAACGGAGGAGGAGUUUUAGCAAGUUCAACCACGAUCUUAAGCUUAACAACUCCAUUUGAAUAUGGUCGAAUAUUCGGAAACUCUGAAUGAACUGGGAAGCCAACUCCAGAAGCGAUGGUGCUAAAACCUUGAGAAGACCAUAAUUCCUGAGGAACAUUGCGAAAGAGAACCCACACCGGAGCAAAAUCCAGCUUCGAAGAGCCCAAAGUAGCAGAGGAAGACCAUUCGGACAACGAAAAAGAACAGUUACGGGAGUGCCAAAAGCCGAUAUCGAGAGCCCAUUUCCGCGUGGCCUCACACGGAAUGAGAAUGAGAAAAAUACCAGGGGAGUGAUACUUAAUAGAGAUUCUGCCCUGUUUACCCCAGAUUGGGUUCAGAUCCGAGAAGAUCUUAGCAAUGGAGGGAGGAGAACCAUGAAAUUGAGCAACAAGAUGAUUUUUCCAAAGCUGAGAUGAUUUAAGAAUAACUGAAUCUGGAGCUUUCAUCUGGGGAAUUCCAUCUUCAGAAACAACUGGAGAGCCGACCUUAGAGAGAGUCAAAAAAGUCGAUUUGAAUUUGGAAGCCCAAGAAGGAAGAGAGUCCUUUGACGAAGCAAGAGGUGGAAUAUUGGGAGAUGAGAGCCUUGGAGAAAGAGGGGCAGAGCAAGAAGGAAGAACCGACAGAUCCGCCGCCGGAGCCGAAGGACGAUCCAAGGGAAGGGGAUCAGGGGAAAGAGGACCGGAAGAGCCAACGGGAGAGGAGGAAGGUGGAUCCGGCCAAGGAAGGAGGAAAAGCAGGUCUUGAGGCACCGAUGCGACCGGAUCUGGAGGUUUAGAAGCCAUACAGAGAGAAGAUAAGGGAGGAGAGGUUUCUCGGCGGUUAGCGUGAGACGUAACCGACGGCGGCGUUAGGAACGAACCCUAAUCACCUAAGCGCCGGAGAAGGCGAGAGCUUUUUUAGUGUAUUAUCAAUUUUUUUUUUGUUUGUUUCAGACGAAAUCAAUCAGCAAGACCGUUGGGGUUAGAAAUUCAUUCAUUGAAUAAUUUCGUUGUAUUAACUUUUAAGCGUAGCCAGUAUGGAGGUAAUUUCAAAACAAAUUCUUGUCUAGCAACCUGUUUUUACUUUAAUUUGCCUCCAUACUUACCUUAUCUUGAAUUUGUACAGUUACGAGUGUUUUCUACAAAGACCUUGACUUGUCUUUACCAUACUAUUCAAAGUAAACGAUAGCGAUCACUCACUUAACGCAUGUCACAUGACUUUUAGGUGUGUUUUUUUCAUUAACAGAGACUUGGACUUUUUCUAAAUAUACAGAAUCAUUUCUUGUUGAAUUUGCAUUGAACUUCACAAUCCCACGUUCGUUUUUGGAGUUUGCUUUUCUAUUAUUGUGUUAUUUGUAAUGGAGCGGAAGUUUUUCUUGGGCCAAUAUUUGAUAUGUGUGAUAUUACUGUUGGGGCAGCUACAUGGAUACAAAAGCUGUAUUCAGAAAGAAAAGUUGGCUUUGUUGGAGCUCAAGAAAUACAUAAUCUCACAAAGUAGGCUACCCGAUUUCGUUCUCCCUACUUGGACUAAUGACAGAAGGAGCGAUUGUUGCCGAUGGGAGGGCCUUAAGUGCAACCGCACAAGCGGACGGGUGACUGAGAUUGUGCUUAGUGAUUUGUUCCUCAAAGAGAGCUCUCUCUUCAAUCUUUCUUUGCUGCAUCCCUUUGAAGAGGUUCGAAGUCUGAACUUUUCAACGCUAGUGGGAGGAAGUUGCUUCUUCGAUGAUGUUGAAGGUAUUUACCAGGUUUUCCUUUGCAUUGGAAGUUCUUAUGUUUCCUGUGUUUAGGGUUCUACUUCUUUAACGAACCUUUAUGGACUAAAUCAUACUUGAUUGUUUCAAAUUUUCAUGCAAGUCACUUGCUCAUGUCUGUGUGCACCAUGUUGCGUGUUGCAAUCACAUCAGACGGUGACUUGCAUCCCUUCACAUGAAAGUCAUAAUAAUUGAUUGAGAUAUGUUAUCAGUAUUUAUAUGCUUAGCAAGAUUCUCAUUUGCAGGGUAUAAAAGCCUAGGGAAGUUAAGUAGCCUCAAGAUUCUGGAUCUCUCAAGAAAUAAAUUCAACAACAGCAUAUUUCCCUUUCUUAAUGCCGCUACAUCACUUACAACUCUUUUUCUUCGGGAAAACAACUUGGAUGGCCCUUUUCCUGCUAAAGGUAUGUUUUUUUUUUUUCCAUUUGUAAUUGUGUGGAAACACAGGAUGGCCUCAUUAUUGAUGAUGUCUUUGUACGUUAGUUCGAUCCAAUAAUUAUAAUUAUUGUUAUAACUUCAAGUCCUAUAUUUGUUGGAUUUGCUUUCAGAACUUAAAGAUUUGACAAACUUGGAACUGUUGGACCUGAGUAGUAACAGAUUUAAUGGCUCCAUACCAGUACAAGGUAGCUCAGAAAUUUUUAGCUGAUUCAAUGGCUGCAUAACCCUUUGUUUUUAAUUGGCUCGUGCAAUCUUUGAAACCAUGAUGUUCGUAGGUAAAGGUGCUUAUCUUUGUGUUGGCUUUGUCUUGUGGCAGAGUUAUCUUCCCUGAGGAAGCUGAAAGCUCUGGAUCUAAGUGGUAAUGAGUUUUCUGCAUCAAUGGGAUUGCAAGGCAAGUCAAAACAUAUCUUUAGCUACUCCGUUAAAACUGGUGGUGAAUUAACGUUUAUUCAUGUGUAUAAAUUUUUUGCAUUUGAUUAUCGUAGGGAUUUGCGAAAUGAAGAAUAUGCUAGAUCUUGAUCUCAGUCGAAACAAACUAGUAGGUCAGUUUCCCUUAUGCUUAACUAGCUUGAGUGGACUUAGAGUUCUUGAUCUCUCAUCAAACCAAUUGACUGGGAAUGUGCCACCUGCUCUCGGUAACCUUGAAUCCCUCAAGUACUUAUCGUUGAUUGAUAACAACUUCGAAGGCAUCUUCUCACUUGGUUCGCUUGCCAACCUCUCAGAGCUUGGGGUUUUCAAACUUGGUUCAAAAUCCAAAUCACUUCAAGUAGAGUCUGAAAGUUCUUGGAAGCCAAAAUUUCAUUUGAGUGUUAUUGAACUACCAUCUUGCAACUUGGUAAAGGUUCCUCAUUUUCUCGUAUACCAGAAGGAUUUGCGUCGCAUUGAUCUCUCCCACAAUAAUGUUUCUGGAAAUUUUCCUUCUUGGCUAUUGGCAAACAAUACGCAACUCAAAGUUUUGUUUCUACAAAAUAAUUCGUUUACGAGCUUUCAGCUACCGAAAUCUGCUCAUAAGCUACUUAUCCUAGAUGUGUCAGCUAAUGAAUUCAGUCAUCUGCUUCCUGAGAACAUUGGGUGGAUACUUCCUCAUUUACGGUAUAUGAAUAUCUCCAAGAACGGGUUCCAAGGAAAUAUGCCAUCUUCUUUGGGUAAUAUGGAGAGGAUUCAAUAUCUGGAUAUAUCUCACAACAACUUCCAAGGGAAGCUACCAAGAAGUUUUGUAAUGGGUUGUUAUUCCAUGGUAUCUUUGACGCUGUCACAUAACAACCUAAGUGGAGAGAUUUUCCCGGAAUCAGUCAACUUUACUGAUAUAUCGGAGCUGUCUAUGGAUAACAAUCAGUUUACAGGAAAGAUUGGAAAAGGUUUGCGUAGCUUGAGAUACUUGGAAUUGCUUGACAUUUCGAACAACAAUCUCACGGGUGUUAUUCCAAGCUGGAUUGGCGAGCUUAAAUCCUUAGUUGUAGUACUUGUUUCAAACAACUCGUUGGAAGGUGAGAUACCUGUUUCGUUGUUCAACAGAAGAUUUCUUCAGCUACUGGAUCUCUCUGCAAACAAUUUAUCUGGGGGCAUACCUCCACACGUCAAUUCUAGGUAUCCCGUAGCGUUAUUCCUGCAAGACAAUAAGUUAUCAGGGGUCGUUCCAGACACAUUGCUAACGAAUGUCACUGUACUUGAUCUGAGAAAUAACAGAUUGUCUGGGAAUAUUCCCGAGUUCACCAACAACCGAAACACCCAUACUCUUCUUCUCCCAGGGAAUAAUCUAACAGGCAGCAUUCCCCACCAGUUGUGUGGCCUAAGAAACAUCCAACUUCUUGAUCUUUCAAACAACAGAUUGAAUGGAUCCAUACCUUCAUGUCUCAGCAAUACAUCAUUUCUUCUUGGGAAAGAAGAGGAUAUAAUUUAUGAUUAUGAUUACGGCCGUAUUAACCAGCUUGAUCUUGCGGGUGGUUUCCAAGAUCCGUUCAAAUUUCUUAUUGUGCUAGAUCCGUUUAGUAUGGUAUACGGGCCAAUCAUCCAGCUUAAGAUAGAGUUUGCAACUAAACACCGAUACGAUGCCUACGUGGGUGGAGUUCUCGUAUUAUUGUUUGGAAUGGAUCUCUCAGAAAAUGAGCUGAGUGGUGAUAUCCCUGUAGAGCUUGGAGGUCUUCUGGAGAUACAAGCUCUCAAUCUUUCUCACAACAACUUAUCAGGCGUGAUACCAGAUAGCUUUUCAGGUCUGAAGAAUGUGGAAAGUCUUGAUCUUUCCUUCAACAAAUUACAAGGCCGGAUUCCACCAAGACUAGCAGAUCUGAGCAGCCUAGGUGUGUUCAAUGUUUCAUACAACAACUUAUCAGGAGCCAUUCCCCUGGGAAGACAUUUUAGCACCUUUGAUACACAAAGCUUCCUCGGUAAUCCUCUUCUCUGUGGGCAACCAACCGACAUAAGCUGCAACGGUAACACCAUUCAAGCACCAGAUAAUGUAGCCAGAGAUGAAGAAAGCACAAUCGACAUGGUUUCUUUCUACUGGAGUUUUGCUGCAGCCUAUGUUACAGUACUUCUUGGAGUACUUGCAUCUCUCUCUUUUGAUUCUCCAUGGAGCAGAUUUUGGUUCUACACGGUUGAUGCUUUCAUCCACAAGGCGAGGAAUUUGUUGUGGUAAACCAUUAUUGGUGACAAAUUCUUAUAUUGUCCCCAUCUGUUUCUAUUCUUCACAAGACCUCCUGCUUUGUGUAGCCAACCAGAACAUUACUUGUGUUUGGUUCCUAUGUACUGUCUUUGUCAUUGUCUAUGAAUAAAUGUAUUGUCUCAAACAUUUCUUUGUUCCUGAGUAGCUUAUUGGUUGGUUUACUAAAAAAUCCUCAGAAAUCAGGAACUUGCAGGGAACAAUUUUAAGGUAGAAAAGAGUGCAGACCCAAGAAUGAAAUAAAUACAGAGAAUUUUCCAUUAUACCGCUUUACUGAUUUUCUUCAGGUAACCGUCUCAAGAACUUCAGAUAUUACAAUAACAUACCAUAUGGAUACUAAUUCAUUAUCCUGUUGUAGAAUACAAAUGAGUCAAAUGAGCAUAUGAAUCAGCAGAGAAAUAGAAAGACCAGAGAGAAACAUAGAACAUAGCUAAAAGAGUUAGAGAAAGAGGAUGUGAAACGAUAGCGUUUUGCGUUAUUCCCUUGUUUCUGACGUCGCCAACUGAGAAAGCCACGUCAGCAACUCAUUUGGCAGAGAAUUUCAUGGUUAGAUUUUUUAUUUUUAUUUUACCAGAAUCUCAUUCAUUCUUAUGCAGAAAAUUAAUUAUCAGCUGAAUUACUCAACAAGCUUUACGUUGCUAAAAGAUUAACAUACCUGAUACAAGGAAUAUAUAUACGUAACUAAGACUAAGUAAAAGAUUCGAGGGGGCAAUUCAGGGCUAUUACAAAGAGUAUAGUUUUGUUCUUCCAGAAUCCCAAAGAUUUGGGGAUUAACCCUGCCUAACAUUCAUCUCUCUCGCUUGACCGGAUUUUUUGAAAAUAUUAAAUCAUUGUCACUCUUUUUAACUUUUGUUCCCCUUCACAUUGUACUUGAAAUACAGCAAUUGGCUAUUGCACACUGUAAAUAGUACUCUUGAGGAUGAGGAAAUUGUAGUUGGCUAAUGUAUACAAUUUUUAUUUGUUAGUUGUGAUAAAGCUUCGUAAGAGUUGAUAAUGCGAAGCACGCCACAGGCACAAGUAUGUUAUAUGAUAUGAAUGCUUCUCCACAGAAGAUAUUGUAUUUUCUUAUGCACCAUAAUUGGUGUUUUCCAAUUCCUCUAUGUUUAAUACUUGUAAACAUAAAUUCUUUGUUUUUCCUUUUUAAUCUCUGAUUAUAAUUCUCUUGGCUCAAACCAAUAGAAGGGAAGCUAUUCUUGUCUGAAAACUUGAUAUGGGCGAUGAUACUAUAUAUCACAAAUAACAUCAAAAACUCAUUCUUCACAUUUUAUUCCUAAGUUCACACAGUUCAACAUUUACACGUAAAAAAUAUGAUAACUGAAGUGAUCAGUGUAGGCUAUGUUAUUUUGUAUACAUUGUUUAAUAAUUUUUUUUUUCUUUUUUGCAGGUUAUAAAAGCCUGAAGAGAUUAAGGAACCUGAAGAUUAUGGAUUUUUCUUCAAGUGAAUGCAACAACAGCAUCUUUCCCCUUAUCAUCCUUAGCUUUAUUGCUUAGUACCCAGCAAAUUUUCUGUGACGUAAUGCAUUGGUCGAAGUAACAGAUGCUGACCGCACAAUUUCUACGGAGACUUUGACUUUAUAUGCCAAACGAAUCUCUAAGCUUAUCAUAACGACUGAAAGUAAACGCUAAACGACAGUGAUCACUCACGCUCCAACUGGGACCUGAAUUGACUUUGUAAGUGUGCAAUUAUUUCCUCGAAUUUGGUGUAUUCCUUUGGAAAAAUUUGAAGAAAUCUUGUAAAUUGUGGAGGUACUUGCAUUGAGCGGACAAGUCACUUUGGAUUAUCUUUCAUUUGCUUUUAUUUUUCGGUUUGAUUUGCAAUGGAAGGGAAGGUGUUCUUGAGAAAAUACUUGAUAUGUGUGAUGUUAUUGUUGGGGCAGCUAUAUGGAUACAAAAGCUGUGUUGAGAAAGAAAGGAAUGCUUUGUUGGAGCUCAAGAAAUACAUAAUGUCAAUUAGUAAAGAGGAGGAGCCCGACUAUGUUCUACCUACUUGGACUUAUGACACAAAGAGUGAUUGCUGCGAGUGGGAUGGCGUUACGUGCAACCAAACAAGCCAACAUGUGACCGAGAUUGCCUUUGGUACACUGAACCUCAAACAGAGUUCUCCUCUUAAUCUUUCUUUGUUGCAUCCCUUUGAAGAAGUCCGAAGUCUGAACUUAUCCAAGUCCAGAUUCAGUUAUUUAUACCCGAUCGAAGAGAGAGGAUUCCAGGGAGAGACAAACAACCUUUUCGAUGACUUAUUUGACGAUGUGGAAGGUAUACCAGGCUUUCUCUAGUGGUUAGGUUUUAACAUUUGGUUUGUUAUUGGAGCUUUUGAUCUGUUCCUUGCAUUAGGGGUCUACUUCUCUAAAUAACCUAAUGCAUUUAUUUCGUGAUAUGUCUGUGUCCCAUGUUGCAUUCUCGUCACACGUUCACUUACUUUCCCUUUCCCCGUGCAUAGAGUUCAUCUGGAUGCAUACUAAGCGAUUGGAUUAAGAUAUGCUAAUCAUUAAUUAUAUGCUUAACCAGAUUCUUCUGUGGGUUUAUCCAAAAUAAAAGCUUCGUUUUUCAGGUUAUAAAAGCUUAGGGAGAUUAAGAAACCUGGAGAUUCUGGAUCUCUCUUCAAAUAAAUUCAACAACAGCAUCUUUCCCUUUCUUAAUGCCGCUACAUCACUUACAACUCUUUUUCUUCGCGAUAACUACUUGGAUGGCCCUUUUCCUGCUAAAGGUAUAAUUUUGUUUGAUCGAUUCAGUUUAUAAUGCUAUAAUUCUAUAUGUCUUAAAUUCAAGUUGUAUAAUAUUCAAUUAUAUUUGUUGGCCUCCAUUUCAGAACUUGGAGAUUUGAUAAACCUGGAACUGCUGGACCUGAGUAUUAACAGGUUCAAUGGCACCAUACCAGUACAAGGUAGUUGUCCGUAAAUGUUUUUUUUUUUUUUGUUCCUAAGGUGAUAGGUCAAUCAAUUCAAUGGCUACGUACAACAUUGUUGGAUAAUUAGUCCCUUGAGGUGAACAUGUUCGUAUAUUUAAAACUGUUUACCUUUGUAUGGCAGAGCUAUCUGCCCUGAUGAAACUGAAAGCUCUGGAUCUAAGUGAUAAUGAAUUUUCUGGCUCAAUCGAAUUGCAAGGCAAGUUUACUCAAGUAUCUCACGUUUUUGAUUAAAAAGAAGCUGUGGGUUGAAUUCACGCUCAAGUAAAUGACUUAAAGCUUCUGCGUUUGAUUAACGUGUAGGGAUCUGCAAAUUGAAGAAUAUGCAAGAGCUUGAUUUAAGUCGAAACAAACUUGUAGGCCAGUUUCCCAUAUGUUUAACUGGAUUGACUGAACUUCGAGUUCUUGAUUUGUCAUCAAACCAAUUGGAUGGGAAUGUGCCAUCUGCUCUUGGUAACCUUGAAUCGCUUGAGUACUUAUCGUUGUUUGAUAACAACUUCGAAGGAAUCUUCUCACUUGGUUCGCUCUCCAACCUCUCAGAGCUUAGAGUGUUAAAACUUGGUUCAAAGUCCAACUCACUUCAAGUGGAGUCUGAAGAUUCUUGGAAGCCAAGAUUUCGGUUAAAUGCUAUUGUACUAGGAUCUUGCAACUUGGACAAGGUUCCUCAUUUUCUCCUACAACAGAACGGUUUGCGUCAUGUUGAUCUCUCCGACAAUAAAAUAUCUGGGAAUUUUCCUUCCUGGCUGUUGGUGAACAAUACAGAACUCCAGGUUCUGCGUCUACAGAAUAAUCAUCUCAAGAGCUUUCAGUUACCAAAAUCCACUCAUGGUCUGGCUUUACUGGACGUGUCUGUUAAUGAUUUCAAUCAUCUGUUUCCUGAGAACAUUGGGCGGAUACUUCCUCAGUUAGUGUUUAUGAAUAUAUCAAGUAACGGUUUUCAAGGAAAUCUGCCAUCUUCUCUGGAUAACAUGAUGAGUGAGAUUACAAAUCUGGAUCUAUCUCACAACAGCUUCCAUGGGAAGAUACCAAGAGGUUUCUUGAAGGGUUGUUAUUCCAUGAAUAUUUUGAAGUUGUCACAUAACAGACUAAGUGGAGAGGUUUUUCCAGAAGAAGUUGAUUUUUUUGGUAUAUUGGAGCUGUAUAUGGAUAACAAUCAGUUUACAGGAAAUAUUGGAAAAGGUUUACGGAGCUUGACAUCUUUGAGUAUGCUUGAUAUUUCGAACAACAAUCUCACUGGUGUUAUUCCAAGUUGGAUCAGCGAACUUUCAUCCUUAAAUGCACUGCUGCUUUCAAACAACUCGUUGGAAGGUGAAAUACCUAUUUCCUUGUUAAACAUGACCAAUCUUAAUCUACUUGACCUCUCUGCAAACAUUUUGUCUGGGGAGAUACCUCCACACGUCAAAUCCUCAAGCCCGUUAGUAUUACUCCUGCAAGACAAUAAGUUAUCAGGGGUCAUUCCAGACACAUUGCUAACGAAUGUCACUGUACUUGAUCUGAGAAACAACAGAUUGUCUGGGAAUAUUCCCGAGUUCAUCAACACCCAAAGCAUUGGUAUUCUUCUUCUCCGAGGUAAUAAUCUUACAGGCCGUAUUCCUCGCCAGUUUUGUGGCCUAAGCAACAUCCACCUCCUGGAUCUUUCCAACAACAGAUUGAAUGGAUCCAUACCUUCAUGUCUUAGCAAUACAUCAUUUGGUUUGUGGAAAGAGGACGCAUUUUACUUUUUUGAUUUCUCUUUCGGUGACAAUCCUAUUAGUUUCGAGGUUGGUUAUGCUCUGGAACAGGAUUCCACUUCCACAAAAGGUGUUGGUAGAUAUUUCAAGUCUCUGCUUAUGCUUGAUCCGUUCAAUAUGGAUUACAAGGCAAUCACACAGACGAAAAUUUAUUUUGCAACAAAACACCGAUACGAUGCCUACAUGGGUGGAAAUCUUCAACUGUUCUUUGGAAUGGAUCUUUCACAAAACGAGCUGAGCGGUGAGAUCCCAUUUGCGCUUGGAGAUCUUCUGAAACUACAUGCACUCAAUCUUUCUCACAACAACUUAUCAGGCGUGAUACCAGACAGCUUUUCAAGUCUGAAGAAUGUGGAAAGUCUUGAUCUUUCCUUCAACAAAUUACAAGGUCGGAUCCCAUCAAAACUAGCAGGACUGAGCAGCCUAGCUGUCUUCAAUGUCUCGUUCAACAACUUAUCAGGAGUCAUUCCACAUGGAAAACAGUUUAACACUUUUGAUACGGAAAGCUAUUUAGGUAAUCUUCUUCUAUGUGGACAACCAACAAACAAAAGCUGCAAUGGUAAUACAAUUGACGCACCGGAUAAUGUAGAGGAAGACGAAGAAAGCACAAUCGACAUGGUUUCUUUCUACUGGAGUUUUGCUGCAGCCUAUGUGACCAUACUUCUUGGAACAUUCGCGUCUCUCUCUUUUGAUUCUUCUUGGAGCAGAUUUUGGUUCUAUAUCGUUGAUGAUUUCAUCCACAAGGUGAGGAAUCUGUUGUGGUAAACAAUUUCUUAUAUUGUUGUCCCCUUCUGUCUCUGUUCUUCUGAAAACCUCUUAAUAACAUGUUUGGUUCCUCUGUAUUGUCUUUGAAUAAAUGUAAUGCCUCAAACAAUCCUAGAGCUCGUUUUUUUUUUACAUCUAUCUUUAUUUCCUAGUUCUCGUUAUGUGGUUGGUUCAAUAAAUAAUAUCAUAAUUAUGAAAUACAAGAACUUGCAUGGAAAAAAAAAAACUCAAAAGUAGGAAAAAAAAAAGAAUACAGAGAGUUUUCCGUUUAUAGUAAGAAGUUCUCUUGCUUCUUUUAAGAGUCUCCGCAUGUACGAUCUCAUUCACCAGAUCCUUGAAGAUAAGCCUCUCCACAUCCAGCACCAAUCCUGAGAUUUCUCCACUGAAGUCCACCCAGUUCCCAGACCGAACCAUCACAUCUUCUGCAAGUAUACUUUUCAAGAAGUCGUCUUCUUCCUCCAACAAGAAGUUUUCUGAUCUCUUUGUGGCUUGCUUUUGCAGUGUUUCUAUCUCUGAACACAGUUCUUUCAGUAGCUGUUGCGCACUCAUGGCUUUCUUAGUCAUCUUAGUUGAUGACUUCAUCAAUGGAUUCAUCGUGGCUUCAACCGAAGCUAGUUUCUCCACAAGAAUUUCAUUAACGGUGUCAAACACAAGUUUGCGGUUGAGCUUCUCCUUGUUCAAAACCGAUGCGUAGUGCUGCUUCCCUAUGUCUUCAAUGGUUUUCAACUUUUCUGUGGGCAACCAACAAGCAGAAGCUGCAAUACCUUUCAAGAACCAGAUGAUGAAGUGGAAGGUGAUGAAUCCGCAAUCGACAUGGAAUCUUUCUACUGGAGUUUCGCUGCAGCGUAUGUGACAAUACUUGUUGGAAUACUCGCAUUGCUCUCAUUUGAUUCUCUUUGGAGAAGAUUGUGGUUCUACAUCGUUGAUGCUUUCAUCUACAAGGUGAGGAAUCACUUGUGGUAAAACCAGUAUUGGUGACAAAUUCUUCAUAAAUGUAAUGCUUCCACAUCAAAUCACCCAACUUUUUCAUUUGGAGAAAAGAAAAGAGUAUGUAUUUAUUAUACUUUUAUCAAGCAAAACCCCUCUUCGCCAUUGGAUCUCUCUUCGUUUCGUCUCGCUCUCAUUCUCAUCUCAACACAACACACUUUACAAAAGAGAAAAAAAAACCUUUAAGUCACAGAAAACGGUGAUAUCCGCCGUUUCACAAUGGCCAUCGCGUCGCGACUGCCGUUAUCUUCAUAUCCGCCGCCGUUUUUAGCGCGUCUUCGUCUCACCUCCUUCUUACUUCACGGUGGCGAUCGCUGGACGGAUACUUCAACAAUCGCCAUUGGAAAAUCUACGGUUUUCGCUGAGACAACUGAAUUAUGUGAAACGACAGCGUUUUCGUUAUUCCCUUGUUUCUGACGUCUCCGACUCAGAAACCCACGUCAGCAACUCAUUUGGCAGAAUUUCAAUUCAUGGUUAGAUAUAUUUUUAUUUUUUUUCCCAGAAUUUCGUUCGUUCAUUCUCAGAAAUUUAAUUAUCAGCUGAAUUACUCAACGAGCUUUACGUUGCUAAAAAGAUUAACGUACAAGGAAUAUUUACGUAACUAAGGCUAAGUAAUAGUUUAAUCCGUCUUCUUCUCUUUAGUUUAAUUCUAUUCUCCAAAAUAUAGUUUUGUUUGUCAAGAAUCCCAAAGGUUGGAGGAUUGACCCUGCCUAAUAUGCAUCUCUCUCGCUUGAGCUUAAAAAUUUGACAAACUUGGAACUGUUGGACCUGAGUAAAACGAAUUUAAUGGCUCCAUACCAGUACAGAGUAGUGUCAACGUUAUUGUGACUGUCUAUAGAUGCUUACCAUAGAUGCAGUCUUUAUGGUAUCUUUCCACAAGAGGUUCGCUAUAGCUUAUGUGACCAUAUUUCUGGGAAUACUCAGCUUCACUCCCUUUUGAUUCACCUUGGAGCAGAGCUUGGUUUAGUGUUGUUGAGGCUUUUAUCCAUAAGAUGAAAACUUUCUUAUCCCAAAUUACAGUGGUUAAGAGUGUAAGCUGGUCUCUUGAAAGUAUAUAAUCAUUUAUUGUGACAAUUCCGUUCUGAUAUACUUGUAAUUUGUUCUUCAGCUCGGCGAUCAGUACUCCCUGAUUCUUAAUCGCUUUUUUUGUUUUAAUUCUAUUACAGAAUAUCUAAUAUUGGUCAUUAACUAAUAAAUUAUAUACAGUAUAUAGUUUGGCUACCUACUUUAUUAACCCUUGAAUUAUUACGUGGUAUAUAAGCUUGAGGGAAAAAAAAUGCUUUGAAACUUGGCUUUAAACAAGCUACCAAUUUGUGAAAAAAAAGCCCGUUUACUAUGUAAAAAAACUUACCAACCCUGUCUCGUAGAACCUAUGCAACUCCUCCUUACUUCUUCUGUUUGGAGAAGGAGAAUCCGAUGUUGCAUUUUAACCAGUCCAGUGGCUUUGCUUCCCUCGUUUAAUUUGGGCGUUUUGGGUUAUUGUAACUUGUAAGUUUCUAUAACCUUCGAUAAAUAUCUAGAUGACCAAAAAAAAAAAAGCUUGAGGGAAAAAUAUAUAUAUUCCAAUAUUUUCCAUAUUAUCAUCCUUUAAUUCUAUUGCUAAGCAAUUUUCUGUGACUUAAAAAGCAUUUUGGUCGAAGUAAAAGAUGCUGACCGCACAAUUUCUACGGAGACCUUGACAUUAUAUGCCAGACGAUUCUAAGUAAACGCUAGACCACAAUGGUCACUCAUGCCCCGACGACUGGGACCUGAAUUGACUUUGUAAAUGUACAAUUAUUUCCUCGAAUUUAGUGUAUUCCUCUGGAAAUUUGAAGAAUUCUUGUAAAUUUUGGAGGUACUUGCAUUGAGCGGACAAGUCACCUUGGAUUAUCUUUCAUUUGCGUUUUUUUUUUCGGUUUAUUUGCAAUGGAAGGGAAGGUGUUCUUGGGAAAAUACUUGAUAUGUGUGAUGUUACUGUUGGGGCAGCUACAUGGAUACCAAAGCUGUGUUGAGAAAGAAAGGAAUGCUUUGCUGGAGCUCAAGAAUUACUUUGUCUCAAUUACUCGAGAAGUUUUCGUAGACGAUGUUCUCCCUACUUGGACUAAUGACACAAAGAGCAAUUGCUGCGGCUGGGAUGGCCUUAGGUGCAAUCUUACAAGCGGACGGGUGACCGAGAUUGCCCUUUCUGGCACCUAUCCCUUUCUGACAAUCUUAAAAGAGAAUUCUCUCCUUAAUCUUUCGUUGCUACAUCCUUUUGAAGAUGUUCGAAGUCUGAACUUCUCCGGGCACCUUCUCAGUGGCUUGUUUGAUGACGUUGAAGGUAUACCAGGCUUUCCCUAGUAGUUAGCUUUUAAUAUUCUGUUUUUCAUUGGAACUUUCAUGUUUUCUCUCCUUUAGGGAUCUACUUCUCUGAAGAACCUAUAUGGACUAGAUCUUUGUUCAUUGUUUCUAGUUCUUGAAAGUUAUUGUUUCUCGUUGCAGGUUGUAAAAGCUUGAGGAGAUUAAGAAACCUGGAGAUUCUGGAUCUCUCUUAUAAUGAAUUCAACAACAGUAUCUUUCCCUUUCUUAACGCUGCAACAUCACUCACAACUCUUUUUCUUAGGGACAACUUCAUGGUUGACCCUUUUCCUGUUAAAGGUAUGUUUUCCCAUUUGUAUAUAUAGCAUGUCCUAAUUCUUUUAGGGAUGAUAUAUUAUUCUUCUACUAGGGAUUAACCCGCGCUAUAUAUUUUUUAUCAUUAAUUAAUUUAAAUAAUUUUAUGAAACAGUUAUUUUGUAAAAACAGUUAUUGUUAUAAAGUUUACAAUAAUAUAGUGCAUAUUUUUAUGAAUUUUAAAUAAUGAAUUGAUCUGUAUAUAUAUAUAUAUAUAUAUAUAUUUGAAUUAUAAAAAAUAAGUUAAUCCGUAUAUGAAAUUAUUUUAUAAGCGUGUAAAACAAAAUAAGUUGUUUUAAUUUCGUUGGUACUAAACUAAAAUAUUAAUUAGGCUAAUAUAUAAAAAUUAUAAUAUUAUAAUCAUCAACUCUAAUUUGCAUCGUUUAAUAAUUGACAUUUAUAAUCUGUUCACAAACUAUAAAAAUUUAAUUUUAUCUUUUUAACUAUAUAUGAAAAUAAUAUAAUAUUCUUUACACUUAGGUUUGAUAUACAAUAAAUAAAUAUAUAACAAAUUAUAUUUAAUUUUAAAAAUAAAUAUAAUUUAGUAGAUUGAAUAUAUUACCUAUUUUAAAAAAUUAAUAUUUUGAAUUUUGAGAUUUUUUGUGGGUAUUAAAAAAUUAAAAUUAUAAUCUAUUCAUAUCGAACUAACCAUUUACUUAACAUGUUUGUAUUGGAUAAAAAUUUAAUAAUUAAUUAUAAUAUUCACCGUUCAAUAACUCUUAUUUUACCACAAACUUUUUUUAUUUAAAAAUCAAUUUUUUUAUAUCAAAAUUUUAGUAAAAUAACUAAAAAUGUAUUUUUGUAUAUAAUCAAUCAAAUGUAGCAAAUUAUUGAAAAAAAAUACUUCACCACUUUUUUAAUAUCAUAACUUUUAAUUUUGACUUUUAUAAUAUUUCUAAUUCAAAAAUUGAUUUUCACGUUUUUUAAUUAAAAUAUACUUUAUAAUAUCAUUUGAAAAUAAAAAUAAUAAAAAUACUAUCAUAUUUUUAAAUUUAGAAAUUAAAUAAUAAAUAUACUCUAUUAAAUGAGAAAUAAAAAUUUUCCAUAUUUUUAGCAAUAGAGUUGAAAGACAACUAUAUCAUUUUCUAUUUUAAUUAUUCUUUGUUAUUUUUAAUAGCAUUAAUAUUUUACAAAAUAAAGAUUAUAUUUUAAGAGUUUCAGAUUUAACUCAUAUUUCAAAGUCAAACACAAAACUAACCUCUUUUUUUUCUCUCUCCAACUUUUGUUAUUUUCUCACAAUUUUAUCCUUCUCACUUAAACUAUUAUCGAAAAUGCCAUUAUACAUCUAAUAAAUCGAUUUUUCUUUAAUUGGCUAAAGUCUUCUUGGACCUUCUAAAAACUUUUUAAUUACGAGACUGCCAUCGUCUUUAGUAUCUUCAACCACCAUGAACAACCAUGAAAAUGGAAUAAAUGCUUAUCAACCUGUUUUAAAGCUGUAAUAAAACAAAUAUCUAAGCUCAUUCACUCAUAAUCUUGCUCAUUCUAUCAUAAUUUCUUCUCCAAAACAUCUGGGCAUAGUUGCAAUGCUUCGCGCCAUCCUUUUGCGGUGAAUUCUGGUUUACUCGACACCUGGGUUGUUUAAUUUCAGUGAAAUCCUAAGUUCUGGGUAGAUAAGAGAAACUUAGGGGAGCUCAAUUUUGUCAAAGGUAAUUCUCGCACUUCAAUUUCUCCACAUUUCAGUUUUUAUAUCGCGAAAGUAGACUUCUCGUGAACUAUAGUAAAGCCUAUGAGUCAACAUAAGGUUAUUUUUGCAAUUGACUUUUAAAAAGUAGACUUCUUUAAACCUCACGAGAAGUCUACUCGAUAUCCUUUGAAAACAAAAUAAAAUCAUAGUAGACUUCAUCUGACGGCUUAAGAAGUCUACGAAAGAAAAGAGGUUAUUUUUGUAGUUGACCGUAUUUUGACUUUUUAAUGUAGACUUCUAACUGAAGUUUACUGUUUACGUCUGCACACGAAGUCUACAUUUAGGUUAAUUUUGUAGUUUGACCAAAAACAUAUAGGUCAUUUUUGUGUUUGACUUAUGUUUUUCAAAAAUUAAAAAAUUAAAAAAAUUUCAAAAAGCUUCAGUAGACUUCACAAAGAAGUCUACAGUUUGUAGACUUCUUUGUGAAGUCUACUUAUUGUGUUCGGUCAAACUUAGAAGGAAUAUUUUUUUAGUAGACUUCAUUGUGAAGUCUACUAAAAAAAUUCAAUUGCAAAAAUAACCUAUUUCGUUCCGUAGACUUCUAUUUAUAAAGUAGACUUCAAACGUAGACUGCCAGAGAAGUCUACUCUUACAUGAAGUCUACAAUAGAAGUCUACUGUGUUAGUCAACGCGGUGGUCAAAUGCAAAAGUAACAUUCUUUGCCUGAAGUCUACAACUGAAGUCUACUGAAGAAAAAGUCAACGGAAUGGUCAAUUGCAAAAAUAACAUUUUUUUAGUAGACUUCAGUAGUAGACUUCUCAAUGAAAAAGUAGACUUCUCCUCCAGUCUACAUUCGAAGUCUAAAUAAGAAGUCUACUUUCCUAUGUUUUUUUUAAAACGCGUUUUAAGCAAAUGUAUAAAAUAUUUUUCAAACUUUUUGGUUCAGAAUUGCCUCUUAUUAGGUGAUUGAGCUACCCAUUGAAUUUUAUCUCAUUUCAUUGGAUAUUCAUGGUGGAAUCAGAAGUUUCAAUUUUUAAGAUACUUAGCUUAUAAAAGUAGACUUCGUAGUGAAGUCUACGUUCUAAGUCUACACUAGAAGUCUACGUUUAGACGUUUUUAUAAAAACGCCAUUUAAGCAAAUCUAUAAAAAAAAUUUCAAAUUUUUUUGUUUACAAUUGUUUAUUAAUUAGUGAUUGAACUAUCUAGGGCUUUUUAUUCUGUUUCAUUGAAUAUUUCUUGUUGAAUCAGAAUUUUCGAUUUUUAAGGUACUCAGCUUAUCAAAGUAGACUUCAUCGUGAAGUCUACUUUGAUACAAAAAGUCUCUAUGAUUGUUUGCUAAUACGGUUUAUAUGGUUAUUUUUCAGAGGAUGGCUCAAAUUCCAGACUUAUAAUUCUUAUCAUAAUAAAACUUUCUGUUGACUUAUACUAUCGGUGUACACUUUUCCGCAUACACUUUGUUUUGUAUACUCGAAAAUUACAUAACUUAAUUAUAAGGGUGAAAUCGAAAAUUUGAAAUAUUAACAUGUUAAUAGACUUAAUAGACUUCAGUACAGAUACAAUGACAAGUUAGUAGACUUCAGUCACAGACUUCAGUCGUAGACUUCAGUUUUAGUACAAAUCCUAAACGAAAAUACAACAUAUUUGGCAAGUUAAUUAUAAGAUAGGUGGCCAAAAAACUUCCACACCUAUUAUUUACCAAUUGCUAAAAUGACCUCCAAUCACAUGGAAGGUCAUUUAUGCAAAUAGCCCAAAAGUUGCCAUAAAAAUCAAAGUUAAUUUUAAGAACGAAAACACUAAGCUUGCCUAUCAUAGACAUCCAACCCGGUUGCAUCUAGCUUAUCAUGGCCCUUACAUCCUGUCGCAGCCAGCUGGCGGUGUCGGGCACUCGUUGCUCGGGAAACUAGCUGAGCCGCUUCUCUGGCUUUGGCAUUUUUGGCAAGUGCAACCGCAUCGAAGUCUACAUCACACGUCUUCGGGUCAAUUUCACAAAUACUAGGCUCUGGGGCCUCUUCUUCAUUAACGGCAGCCUUCUUUCCUUUUGCAUCCCCGGGGGUGUUAACACUCUCACACGCACCAACGUUGACAUUAGCCCUCUUCGGAGCAUCAUCUUUCUCUGAAUUACUCUGUAGUUUAUUGUCAGAAACAUGCAUGAAUAUACAAAUGAGUACACCAAUGCUAUAAUUUAGUAACAUGUUUUAUCAUAGUCUGAAAAUUGUAAACAACAAGUUUUGAAAACAUAAGUAAAUAAUCUCAAAUGGUACAUAACAGUAGUAAACAUGUUCGAAUUCAAAUGACAUUAGUAUUAAGUGUUCCUAACUUUGUGUGAUCCUGUUCGCAUGUAAUGUUUUCGUAUAGGCGGAGGGUUUUUGGAACUAACCCCUUCAUGCUUCUUGGAUCCAGUGCCCUGCUGCUGGGUUGGCUCUUCCUCAGUGUGCUUCGCCGACCCUGUAGUCAACUCUUCUACCGCACGCUCUACAGAUUCAACCUUCUCGGUGAGAAGUUUGAUCUGCUUUUCACAGCUACCAAGACCAUUCAGCAUCUUGGUUGAAAAGCUUUCGAAGCAUUGGUCGAAGUGCGCUUUCAUAGUAGCGACAACUCCGACCCCUUCAUCACCAACGAAUGAUGCGGCAGAUGCAGAGGCUGUGCAGGGUCUCUUGCGACUUGAUUCAUCUGAGGGAAGGCUCCUCUUUCAGGCUUCUGACUUGACGAUGUGUGCACCCAAAACACCUUCCAAAGGCCAAUGGUCUUUUGAGAACUUGGAAUUGGGGUCAUGGAGUGCAUUGACAAUCUUUACAAUAUCUGGAUCCUGUUCGUCAUCAUCCCACACGGGAAACAUAUCCGCCAAGUCCUUAGCCACGCAGGACUGUAUGCGAGCCUGGAAAAACACGAUUAAUAAAUAGAUUUAGAGCCAUAUGAAGCCUCGGAAAACUACGUAUGAAGUCUACUCCUGAAAUCUAACAUAGAAGUCUACCCCUGAAGUCUAACACAGAAGUCUACUCCUGAAUGUCACACACUAUUAAUGACACAUAUAGAAGUCUACACAUGAAGUCUACUUCUGAAGUCUACAUUGAAAACUCAUUACUACAUAGAAGUCUACUACACUAAUACAGUACUUGUUUUAGCAUGUUGGCUUUGACGUUCCUUCGUCCUCUGGAUCCUUUGUAAGCCAGCAAAAGAGGUUCUUCAGUAACAUUUGGCAAUGGUUCGCCAAAUUCAGCAGCAAAAUCUGGUAAAGCAUAGUAAACCCACAGUUGAAGAGCUUGCACAAAUCCUUCUAUAUGAAUGUUUUUGCUGAGAUCUUUCUCCUUAACAGAAUUGAUCAAAUGCUGAAAAGCAAUUCUUCCCCAUGGAAACUCCUUAAAACCUUCGAGAUUCAUCACUAGUCUGGCAUGGUUGACAUUUGUGGAUGAGCCGGGUCUCGUUGCCACUAUGAAACCAGCGUAGAUCCCAAGAUAACCCAACCGCAGCCUAUCAUCACGAGACCAUGAUGAGCAGUUGGAACAGGCUUCGAUAAUUUUGGUAGUGCUUGGGCCCGACUCGGCAUCGACCCCCAUUAGCUCCAAAAUGCACGCGUGUCAUCGGAAAGCGCAAGAUCAGUUAAAGCCAAGUCAUCCACGUACCCGCAGUUAAGUCCGGUGAUCUCCUCAAACUCAUGCAAUAAAAACCGAACAGGAGUGGUACCAAUGAGGCUCCAUAUCUCGUACCUCUGCUUGCAAACUAUCUGAAAGGUCAGCAUGUGGUGCACCAGCCUAGAAGCCCAACCAAAAUCCAACUCGUGGAACUUUAAAAAGACACCCAACGGUGACUCGUAAAUCUCUUCCCAUUCAUCCUCCUCUAGAGCUGACUUUAGUGCAUGGACCAGCCUAUAAUCAUCAGCGUAAUAGCCGAUGCUUUUAUCCGGGACUGGCUCAAACCCUUUGGUGUAAAGUCUUCUGGGGAAUUCAGAGGCCAUUAUCUAACAAAGAUUCCUGCGUCAACAGUAACAAAGCUCUAAUGAGAAAAACUAGUAACGGUUUGAAACUAUACCCGAAUGAAGUCUACAGUUUCAAAAUGAAGUCUACUUUAUUAAAAUGAAGUCUACUUUCCCAAAAUAAAGUCUACUUUCCCAAAAUGAAGUCUACUUUCCCAAUAUGUGAAGUCUACUUUCAGUAAAAGAAGUCUACUUUCACAAAAAGAAGUCUACUUUCACAAAAAGAAGUCUACUUUCACAAAAUGAAGUCUACUUUCACAAAAUGAAGUCUACUUUCACAAAAUGAAGUCUACUUUCACAAAAUGAAGUUUACUUUCACAAAUGAAGUCUACUUUCACAAAAUGAAUUCUACUUUCACUAAAAUUACAGUAUAUGAAGUCAAUCUACAAAGUUUAGAGUGUUACCGCCUUUAUUAGAUGUAGCUGGCGCCGAGAAAAUACAACCAGAUCUGGUAAAAAAACCUAAGUCAAACCCGACGGAACAAAAAUUACAGGAAGAUAGAAGAAAUUUAAGAAUUGCUAAGGAUAUAACUUCGGAACAACAUCUACUAACCGUUUUGAGGCAGAAAAUUACUUUAACCUCCAACGGCGAAAGCAAAUCUGCAAAAAAAAACAAAAACCCUAAUUUCGGAUCUCGAAAACGGAACGGUGAUGAAUACAGAGGAGUAGGGAAGCAUGGGGGUGUGGUUGGAGAAAGAAAACUUGCCUGAACGAGUUUAUCGGCGGCAGUUCUGAAUGUCGACGGCGCCGGAGCAGAGAAACGGAAAUUGCCUUCGAGUUUUUUUUUUUACACGAACUUUUCGACGGUUUUUUUUUAACGGGAUCUGUAAUUCGUAUAUAUAGUCUGGUAAUUCCGUACGGUUCGGGUAAGUUUUUUCCGGUUAAAGUUGCUAAUUUUUCGGGGUCUAGGUUAAUUUACCCGGUUAAGGGCAGUUUCUCUUGGUUAAGGGAAGUUAUUUCCGGUUUAAUCUCGGUUAAAUAUCCGUUAGGUUAAUUUUUACGGUUUAGUAGACUUCAAUAUCGAAGUCUACAACUUUUAAAACCUAAAUAAUAAAUUUAUUUCUAUUUAAUUUAAAAACAUACAUUUCCAUUUACCAAUGUGAAAAAACUAAUUUUUUUGUAUUUGGGUUACUAUUAUGGAAUUUAUGAUGGUAAAAUUCAGACCAAAAUAAUUUUUUAUAAAUUUUUAAAUUAAAUUUACAGAUUUAAUUAUUUAGUAGACUUCAGUUUUACUUUAGUAGACUUCGUAAGGGAGAAAACGGUAAUUAGGAUAUCCGUUUUUUGUUUACACAUACAGGAUUAAAUGGUUUUUUCACUACCCCUGUAGAUUAUAUCUGUCAAAUGUUUUUUCAGGAGUCUACUUUUGUAUUCAAAAUCAAAUUUUGGGUUAUUUUUAGCAAAAACCCCAUAUUUUAAAAUGUUUACUCAAAUAAUAAUAUAGAGAUUCGUUGGACUCCCCCUUUUAGAACUUGGAGAUUUUGUUCAUUGUUUCUAAUUCUUGAAAGUUAUUGUUUCUCGUUGCAGGUUAUAAAAGCUUGAGGAGAUUAAGAGACCUGGAGAUUCUGGAUCUCUCCUGGAAUAAUUUCAACAACAGCAUCUUUCCCUUUCUUAACGCUGCUACAUCACUCACAACUCUGUUUCUUAGGGGCAACAAAAUGGUUGGCCCUUUUUCGGUUAAAGGUAUGUUUCCCAUUUGUAUAUAUAUAGCAUGUCCUAAUUAUUUUAGGGACGAUGUAUCAUUCUUAUAUUUUGUUGGACUCCAUUUCAGAACUCAAAGAUUUGACAAACUUGGAACUGCUGGACCUGAGUGCAAACAGUUAUAACGGCUCCAUACCAGUACGAGGUAGUCCAUUAAUGCUUGCUCACUUACAACAUUUGUUGGAUUGGUUUGCCUCGUCCUUGAGAUGAACAUAUCCAUAUUUUGUUACCUUUGUCUGUGGCAGAGAUAACUUCGCUCAGGAAGUUGAAAGCUCUGGAUCUAAGUGAUAAUGAAUUUUCGGGUUCAAUGGAUUUGCAAGGCAAGUUUGCUCAAAUAUUUCACUUUUUCAUAUUAAAACAAUAAACAAAAACAAUAAACAAAGGUUGUGGUUGAAUUCACGUUAAUCAAAGUGACUAAACUUUUUGCAUCUGAUUACCUUAGGUAUUUGCAAAUUGAAGAAUAUGCAAGAGCUCGAUCUCAGUUACAACAAACUUGUAGGUCAGUUUCCCUUAUGUUUAACUAGCUUGACUGAACUUCGAGUUCUUGAUCUCUCAUCAAACCAGUUGACUGGGGAGAUCCCAUCUGCUCUCGGUAACCUUGAAUCCCUUGAGUAUUUAUCAUUGUUAGAUAACGACUUUGAAGGCUUCUUCUCAUUUGGUUGGCUCGUCAAACUCUCAGAGCUUAAAGUGUUGAAACUUGGCUCAAAAUCCAACUCGUUUCAAGUAGAUUCUAAGAGUUCCUGGAAACCAAAAUUUCGGCUGAAUGUUAUUGUACUACGAUCUUGCAACUUGGAAAUAGUUCCUCGUUUUCUCCUACAGCAGAAAGGUUUGAAUUAUGUUGAUCUUUCCGACAAUAAAAUUUCUGGAAACUUUCCUUGUUGGCUAUUGGCGAACAAUACAGAGCUCGAAGUUUUGCUUCUGAAGAAUAAUAUUCUUACGAGCUUUCAGCUACCGGAAUCUGCUCAUGAUCUAGUUGCCCUUGACGUGUCAGUCAAUGAAUUCAAUCAUAUGUUUCCUGAGAACAUUGGGUUGAUACUUCCACAUUUACGGUAUAUGAAUAUAUCGAAGAACGGCUUUCAAGGAAAUCUGCCAUCUUCUCUGGGUAACAUGAGUGGGAUUAAAAGUCUGGAUGUAUCUCACAACAGUUUCCAGGGAAAGCUACCAAGAAGCUUAGUAAAGGGUUGUUAUAACUUG
This 30720-nucleotide long non-coding RNA is filed under the name Eutrema salsugineum. Its description in RNAcentral is "long non-coding RNA (ESAL_LNC000042)". The record is from RNAcentral. Lineage: Eukaryota; Viridiplantae; Streptophyta; Magnoliopsida; Brassicales; Brassicaceae.